UGAGGAAUAUUGGGCAAUGCCCGCAAGGGUGACCCGGCAACGCCGCGUGGAGGAUGAAUGUCGUAAGAUUGUAAACUCCUGUUAGAGGGGAAGAAUAGUACCGGUUGGACCGGUAUAUGACUGUACCCUCAGAGAAAGCCCCGGCUAACUACGUGCCAGCAGCCGCGGUAAUACGUAGGGGGCAAGCGUUGUCCGGAUUUACUGGGUGUAAAGGGCGCGCAGGCGGGAUAAAAAGUCAGUGGUGAAAUCCUACAGCUUAACUGUAGAACUGCCUUUGAUACUUUUAUUCUUGAGUUCGGGAGAGAGAGACGGAAUUCCAGGUGUAGUGGUGAAAUACGUAGAUAUCUGGAAGAACACCAGUUGCGAAGGCGAUCUCUUGGUCCGACACUGACGCUGAGGCACGAAAGCGUGGGGAGCAAACA
This 422-nucleotide ribosomal RNA is filed under the name uncultured bacterium. RNAcentral's name for it is "bacterial SSU rRNA". It matches the Rfam family "Bacterial small subunit ribosomal RNA", at positions 355 to 774 of the family's 1533-position model. The record is from RNAcentral.